GGAGGAGGAGAAGGGUCACCCGAAGGGAUGCUUCCAAUGCGGCUGGCGAUCCUUGUUCAGCCAGUUCCUUCGGGAAAC
Molecule: non-coding RNA, 78 nt
Organism: Pseudonaja textilis
Lineage: Eukaryota; Metazoa; Chordata; Lepidosauria; Squamata; Elapidae
Source: RefSeq, a predicted model, not a curated record